AGGGUUUGAUCCUGGCUCAGAACGAACGCUAGCAGCGUGGAUUAGGCAUGCAAGUCGUGCGCGAAAGUCUUCGGACGAGUAAAGCGGCGAAAGGGUGAGUAACACGUAACUAACGUACCCCUCAGAUUGGGAUAACCACUGGAAACGGUGGAUAAUACUGAAUGGUCCUAGGAAGGACAUCCUUCCGAAGGUAAACGGCGGCUUCGGCUGCUGUUGAGGGAGCGGGUUGCGACCUAUCAGCUUGUUGGUGAGGUAACGGCUCACCAAGGCUAUGACGGGUAGCGGGUCUGAGAGGAUGAUCCGCCACACUGGGACUGAGACACUGCCCAGACUCCUACGGGAGGCUGCAGUCGAGAAUCUUCCACAAUGGGCGAAAGCCUGAUGGAGCGACGCUGCGUGUAGGAUGAAGGCCUUAGGGUUGUAAACUACUGUCACGCUAUAGGAACCCGUGUAGGUUAAUAGCCUGCGCGCUGACCAAAGCGAGAGGAAGUGCCGGCUAACUCCGUGCCAGCAGCCGCGGUAAGACGGAGGGCGCAAGCGUUGUUCGGAAUCACUGGGCAUAAAGGGCGCGUAGGCGGCCAGUUCAGUCGGAUGUGAAAUCCCCCGGCCCAACCGGGGAACUGCAUUCGAUACUGACUGGCUAGAGGAUGGUAGGAGCCAAUGGAACUCCAGGUGGAACGGUGAAAUGUGUAGAUAUCUGGAGGAACACCGGUGGCGAAAGCGAUUGGCUGGGCCAUUUCUGACGCUGAGGCGCGAAAGCUAGGGGAGCGAACGGGAUUAGAUACCCCGGUAGUCCUAGCCGUAAACGAUGGGUACUGGGCAAUGGACUUACCUAUGUAGUUCAUUGCUGUAGCUAAUGUGUUAAGUACCCCGCCUGGGGAGUACGCUCGCAAGGGUAAAACUCAAAGGAAUUGACGGGGGAUCACACAAGCGGUGGAGCAUGUGGUUUAAUUCGAAGCCCAGCGGGUAAUGCCGGGGACUCUAGCGAGACUGCCGUUGUUAAAACGGAGGAAGGUGGGGACGACGUCAAGUCAUCAUGGCCCUUAUGGCUAGGGCUACACACGUGCUACAAUGGUUCAUACAAAGGGUUGCUAAGUCGCGAGACCAUGCUAAUCCCAUAAAGUGGACCUCAGUUCGGAUUGGAGGCUGAAAUUCGCCUCCAUGAAGCUGGAAUCGCUAGUAAUCGCGUAUCAGCAAUGACGCGGUGAAUAUGUUCCUGAUCCUUGUACACACCGCCCGUCAAGCCAUGGAAGCGGGGAGCGCUCGAAGUCGCUCUGUCCAACCUUCGGGAGGACGGCGCCGAAAGCGAGCUCCGUGACUAGGACUAAGUCGUAACAAGGUAGCCGUAGGGGAACCUGCGGCUG
This 1364-nucleotide ribosomal RNA is filed under the name hydrothermal vent metagenome. Its description in RNAcentral is "bacterial SSU rRNA". It matches the Rfam family "Bacterial small subunit ribosomal RNA". The record is from RNAcentral.